This is a long non-coding RNA of Neofelis nebulosa (Clouded leopard), 449 nucleotides long. RefSeq lists it as uncharacterized. The transcript has 2 exons. The record is from RefSeq and is a predicted model, not a curated record. NCBI's taxonomy places the organism in Eukaryota, Metazoa, Chordata, Mammalia, Carnivora, Felidae.
UCUGCCCUGGCCUACCUGAAGCCUUGGACAGGACAGUCUAACCUCUGGGCCUCAGUUUCCUCCUUUAUAUAAAGGGAGGGGAGACUUCGGGACACGCCCGCACACAGCAGGUGCCAAGGCGAGUACUGACCCUGCCAUCGCAGACAAGGCGUGAUCCAAAGAGCCCCGCCUUGCCAUGAAGGUAAAGGAUGUGACGGACAGCUGCGCGGAGGGUGACUGCUCUUCAAGCACCGCCCAGGACUGUCGGCGGACUACAGUGUGAACACCUGCGCCCUCCUUUCUCCCCUGUUCUCGCCCUCUUGUCGGCUUCGAUGCACAGGCUGUAUAAUUCAAGUCAUUAAUUUUUUCCAUUCAGUGCGCUUCCGGUUUCUUCCCAUGUCCUUCCUGGAACCCUCUUGUGUGCAUCUUCUAAAUUUAAAAUAAAUACAGUGUACAUAAUUGGAUGCUAA